This 495-nucleotide ribosomal RNA is filed under the name uncultured bacterium. Its description in RNAcentral is "partial 16S ribosomal RNA". It matches the Rfam family "Bacterial small subunit ribosomal RNA", at positions 28 to 523 of the family's 1533-position model. The record is from RNAcentral.
GAUGAACGCUAGCGGGAGGCCUAACACAUGCAAGCCGAGCGGUAUUGUUUCUUCGGAAAUGAGAGAGCGGCGUACGGGUGCGUAACACGUGUGCAACCUGCCUUUACCUGGGGGAUAGCCUUUCGAAAGGAAGAUUAAUACUCCAUAAUAUAUUGAACGGCAUCGUUUAAUAUUGAAAGCUCCGGCGGAUAGAGAUGGGCACGCGCAAGAUUAGCUAGUUGGUGAGGUAACGGCUCACCAAGGCGAUGAUCUUUAGGGGGCCUGAGAGGGUGAUCCCCCACACUGGUACUGAGACACGGACCAGACUCCUACGGGAGGCAGCAGUGAGGAAUAUUGGUCAAUGGGUGCAAGCCUGAACCAGCCAUCCCGCGUGAAGGACGACUGCCCUAUGGGUUGUAAACUUCUUUUGUAUAGGGAUAAACCUACCCUCGUAAGGGUAGCUGAAGGUACUAUACGAAUAAGCACCGGCUAACUCCGUGCCAGCCGCCGCUGUAA